CUCUGUCACCACUGUUCCUUUAUCCCGCCUCAUCCUCAACUCCCCCCUCCCCCCCAGUGAUCUCCCUCCAGUCCCACUGCCCCACAUCCUUGCACCUAGCACCUUGGCGGGUCCAGGGCUGCCCACCCCUCCUAUGGCAGGGGCCCAGCCCCCCAGCCCCAGUUAUCACUCUCCGGACAGAGAUAAAAGUUUAUCUCGAGGCUGGGGGAUAUGAAAGCUCCUUAUCAGCUGCUCCACUAGAGUAAGUGCUGCCCUGACGGGCAGCAGGCAGCAGGCCGGCACUCUCAGCUCUCCCAAGGUCCAGCCCCUCACCCCAGAGAGGAACAACAGUGACGGCAACCGGUGUUUCAUGCUGACACAGACCCCAGGCCAAGCCUGUCCUGAGCACUUGCUCCGUGUAAAAUCAAUGGACACGCGCCCACACGAGGCAUCCAACUCGGGUCCCCACAGAGCAGGGAUGAGUCCACCAGGCCAGAGGCAGAACCUAACUCCCCUUGGUCUCAAUCGCGCAGGGAGGAAACAUCAACCAAAGCCUGGCUGAGGAGUCCCACGUUUGUCUCAGAACCGAGCUGUUGUUGUUGUUGUUGUUGUUGUUGUUUUCCUGAGAGAAAAGUAUAAAAGAUACUGUAACAAGCAUUCACCUUGGUCAAACAUUUUGCCGUAUGUAUUUGCUUCAGAUACUUUUGAAAGAAAUAUAUUCAGAUCCAGCCGAAGUUCUUGUACAAAGUCCGUUUUCCUCUCUCCUUCCACGACCUCAAGUUUGGUGUUUGUCUCCCUCGUGUUUUCAUUCCAUUACUACGUAUGUAUGUAUCCAUACACAGCUUACGAUACCAGUGGUUUUCAGCUUGGUUUUGAACUUCAUAUACAUGGAAUCGUAUAGUUUAUGUUUCUUUUGUUCUGCAUAAUGUCUGUGACACCCACGUUGUUGUGUGUAUUAAUAGUUCUUUUUUAUUGAGAUGUCAUUCGCAUACCACAAAAUUCACCCUUUGAAGUGUACGUUUCAGUGGUCAGUAUAUUCAUAAGGUCUUACCACUAUUACCACUGUCUAAUUCCAGGACAUUUUCAUCACCCCAAAAAGAAGCUUGUACCCAUUAGCAGACACUCCCUAUACUAUUAUCCGCCUCCCCACAGUCCCUGGAAGCCACCAAUCUACUGUCUGUCUCAUGGAUUUGCCUAUUCUGGACUUUUCAUAUGAACAGAAUCAGAAUAUGUGGCCUUUUGUGACUGGCUUCUUUCACUCUGCACAAAAUUUCCAAGGUUCGCUCACAUUGUAGCAUGGAUUAAACUACUUCAUUCCUUUCA
Molecule: long non-coding RNA, 1302 nt
Organism: Callorhinus ursinus (northern fur seal)
Lineage: Eukaryota; Metazoa; Chordata; Mammalia; Carnivora; Otariidae
Source: RefSeq, a predicted model, not a curated record